RNAcentral lists this unclassified non-coding RNA (441 nucleotides) under Hevea brasiliensis (rubber tree). Lineage: Eukaryota; Viridiplantae; Streptophyta; Magnoliopsida; Malpighiales; Euphorbiaceae. The record is from RNAcentral.
UAUGUCCUGAACCAAAAAGGAGCCUCGAUACCCCACCAUAUAUACUUCUAAAUUCACGUGUACCAAGCCUAGCUGUUACAUUUGAUGGGGCAUCGAGGCUCCUUUUUGGUUCAGGACAUAAAUGUGGGUGUAAGAGAGAGAGAGGAGGAAGAGUGGUUAUGGGAGCUGGGCACUGGCGAUGCUGGUGCUUCAGGUACUGAACAACAAGAGCAUCAAGAGAUAAUCGCUCUGAGUUGCUUGGUUGGUGAUCAUUUGGAAGCCCGAGCUGGGUAGAGUUACCAUAUUGGUUGUCAUCUCCAUAAUCUACAAAACUGCUUGAUGUUGAUCGACCAUGUGAAUCCCUCAAAUUAGAACUAGGAGUUAAAAACCCAGCAGCAUCGCCAAACAAACUGCUCUUACGCAAAGCAUUGGGAGUCAAACAAACAGGAGACCGAAGUCCAU